GGUGAGGUGGCUGAGUGGCCGAAAGCACCGCUUUGCUAAAGCGGCAUACUCGCAAGGGUAUCGAGGGUUCAAAUCCCUCCCUCACCG
RNAcentral lists this transfer RNA (87 nucleotides) under Verrucomicrobiota bacterium. Its description in RNAcentral is "Verrucomicrobia bacterium (freshwater metagenome) tRNA-Ser". It matches the Rfam family "tRNA". From Rfam's summary of the family: Transfer RNA (tRNA) molecules are approximately 80 nucleotides in length. Their secondary structure includes four short double-helical elements and three loops (D, anti-codon, and T loops). Lineage: Bacteria; Pseudomonadati; Verrucomicrobiota. The record is from RNAcentral.